Molecule: ribosomal RNA, 440 nt
Filed under: uncultured bacterium
Lineage: Bacteria
Description: partial 16S ribosomal RNA
Rfam family: Bacterial small subunit ribosomal RNA
Source: RNAcentral
CCUACGGGAGGCAGCAGUAGGGAAUAUUGCUCAAUGGGGGAAACCCUGAAGCAGCAACGCCGCGUGGAGGAUGAAGGUUUUCGGAUUGUAAACUCCUUUUGUUAGAGAAGAUAAUGACGGUAUCUAACGAAUAAGCACCGGCUAACUCCGUGCCAGCAGCCGCGGUAAUACGGAGGGUGCAAGCGUUACUCGGAACAACUGGGCGUAAGGAGCGCGUAGGCGGGAUAGCAAGUCAGAUGUGAAAUCCUAUGGCUUAACCAUAGAACCGCAGUUGAAACUGUUAUUCUAGAGUAUGGGAGAGGUAGGUGGAAUGCUUGGUGUAGGGGUAAAAUGCGUAGAUAUCAAGAGGAAUACUGAUUGCGAAGGCGACCUGAUAGAACAUAACUGACGCUGAUGCGCGAAAGCGUGGGGAGCAAACAGGAUUAGAUACCCUAGUAGUC